AUCGGUGCAGCGUGCUGCAGUGAUGCAGACUUUGCAUCGGUCCGUUGUGAUGAAGAACGAGCUAAGCCGAAAGGCGAAGGUCUCAAUUAACCUGUCAAUCUACGUUCCUACCCUCACCUAUGGUCACGAGCCGUGGGUCGGCUCUCUAAGGGAGACACACAUUUAUAUACAUACAGUAUUACCUUAUGGUGCUUUAUGAAUUCUUCUGUCUGAACAAAAUCAAUAAGACGUCAAAUGACAUGUUGACUGAAAUGCCGGAUAGCCGCAGUGACGUCAGCGCGAGUAUAAAGAAGCCUUUAUACUCGAGCGCAACCCACGCGCGCAGUUUUGAAAAUGUACUGCAGUUCACCUCCAAGUCGAGGGUGUCGCUACUGCUGGUAUUGGCUAGGACACCGUCGGGGGGAGUCAUCACAGCAUGUGACUAAAACGGACCAAUCACGAGAGAUGAUCUCCGCGGCGUUCGACGCGCAGCAACCAUUUUUUCUUAGCUUAGCUUGCUAACAAACAGACGCGUUUGUGAUCAACACAUCGCCAUGCAGAGAGGCAAGGAUUGUGACCAUCGUGUGCAAAUACGUGCAAGAAGGACAGCAGAGUACGAGGAAGAACUUUGGGGAACAAAAGAGCGACAAAGUCAACUACUGGACGCUGUUCGCAAGAAGCAGCCGCGAAUUGUGUUCACAGCAGAUGACAGUGAAGAUCUUUGUCCUGAGUGGCAGGAGCAAGAGACCCCUCACAUUAAAGAGGAGGAGAAGGAUGAAGAGUUCCAUCAGAUCAAAGAGGAAGAUGAGCUGCAGCCCCCUUACAUUAAAAAAGAGGAGGAGGAAGCUCACUGCUACAUCAAGGAGGAAGAGGAGGAGGAGACUAUCACCAUGGUGCGAUUGACUGGUGUUCCUUUUAAGAGUGAGGAUGAAGAUGGUCAAAGUGAGGACAACGGAGGGGCGCAGCCUCCAAGCAGCAGCUCAAGUCAACACAUGACAACAGAAGGCGACAGAGGCCACUGCGGUAGACAAGUAGACGGCCUCUCGGCCCCACUAUCAAAUUGUGACGACAUGUCACACUCUUCUGACUAUGAUGAUGAUGAUGAUGAUAAGCAGUCUGAAGGUCACGCUGACAAGAAACACUGGAAAUGUUCUCAGUGUAAGAAAGCUUUUAAAAAAAACAGUGAUUUGAAACAACACAUGAGAACACACUCUGGAGAGAAGCCUUUUGCCUGCUCAGUUUGUAGUCAAACAUUCUCUCAGAAAGGAAGCUUAAGAAAACACACAAGAAUACACACUGGUGAGAAACCUUUUGCCUGCUCAGUUUGUGGUCAAACAUUCUCUGAGAAUGGAAGCUUAAGAAGACACACAAGAACACACAGUGGGGAAAAACCCUUUUCCUGCUCAGUUUGUGGUCAAAAAUUCUCUCAAAAGGCACAUUUGGCAACACACACAAGAACACACACUGGGGAGAAAGCUUUUGCCUGCUCAGAUUGCGGUAAAAGAUUCUUUCGAAAGGGAGCGUUAAAAAUACACACAAGAACCCACACUGGAGAGAAACCUUUUUCCUGCUCAGUUUGUGGCAGAAGAUUCUCUCAGAAGCAUCAUGUUAAGCCACACAAGUGUUUCGGUGUGAAUAGCGGUGAUUUGGAAUGUGAAUCUAAACCGGUUCCUGUUGCGGACCGGUUCUAAAGUUAACGAUUCCUUGGAAUCGUUUGCCUAAUUUCUAAUCAGUUCUUUUAUUGAUCCUAGUAGGGGUUGUAAUCGCGCACCUUUAGCAGCCUGUGCAACAUGUGGACAAGCGAAACCAGCACAGAUGUGCCAGCACCCGGCCUGGCGGCCGAGCCACCAUACCUGGUCCCAGUCCCCCAGGAGACCCUAAAAAUGAGAUAUGAGUGUGCCCAAUGUGCGGAGUAUGUACAGUGAACAGGGCCAGAAGGCGGGCCCGACCGAGGUGGGAGGCACUGACACCCACCAUGUGCCCCAAGUCAGCCGGGGAGAGAAGGGCGACGACCACGGCGGCACGCCCCAAGGAGAGGGAAGAGGAAGGCACAGGCCCGGGCUGCAGCAGCACGACCCCCAAGCCCCCACCCGGAGUCCAGGACGAGACCCCCAGAGGGGGGGCAACGGGCACCACCCCGGCACCCGGGGACGUAGAGCAGCCCCAGGAUCGGCAUCCCCCAGGAGGGCAACACGGACACAGCCAUACCCGAGGAGGAGGGGGGGCACAGGCAAAGCAUCCCCAGACGCCGACCUCGUAAAUCCAGAAGGAUAGGGGUUGAAAUGGAUGGAAGUGACCCUAUGGUGUGCACAGGGGUCUAAAAUGACGAGAAAUUAUUUGGUCACAUUUCAUUGCAUUUACAUUACAUUUCUGUAUCAUGUUCUUUCCCAGGCAAGCACAAUCGAGUUUCAAGGUUCACCAUUUUCAUGAAAGGUGACCAACCUUUCUCAAAGUCAUCCAUUAUUACGUUUGGCAGAGAUAUUGUCGAGUGUUAUAUACUCUAUGACAAGAUUUUGCCUUUGGUUAAUAUUGAUAGCUCGUUUAUUUUUCCAGUUUAACAGUAUUAUUUUUUUAGCGCUAGCUAGAAUUACAAGUAUUGGUUGGACAUGUUUAUUUGGAAGAUCUAUAACUUUUUAAAUCAGCCAGCAGAGAAAGAUUAGGAGAAAUCGGAAUCCUACAGUUCAAAAUUGAGGAAAGUUUGUGUAACUAGUGACCAGAAGUGCUAUACUGGUGUACAAUGCGAAAGAGCAUGAAAAUAAGUGUCUGGAGCAUUUUCAGUACAAUGUUUGAUUUUGAAUAGCCCAUUUUAUGCAUGCUAUAUUGUGUAACGUGUGAUCUAUGGCGUACUUUGAACUGGAUUAUCUGUAAAUUACAGUUUUUUUGUCAUUAAGAAUGUGUUUCUAUAGAUUUGUGCCCAGUGUCAGUCGACCCUGAGAGGUCUUUUUCCCAUUUUGUGACUGAGUUACAUCGAGCGAGCUGAGCCAUCCGAAACUGCAGCAAAAUAAAUGUUGUUUACAGGAUCUUGCAAAAGAGGAAGGCAGCAGAAUGUUCCAGUUGACAGCUACAGGAAAAACAAGUCAUCCACCAGAGAAAGGGGGAAGACAGAAGGUCAAGAUGACCGGGAGCCAACUGUGAGGAGGAACGCCGCCCUCCCCGUACUUGUGUUGUAAACUUCAUAUAUUGUCCAUGGACCGGAGCGAGAGGCACUUUUUCCCUUCUCAAAUCUGCAUGGCGGAGGCGAGUUCGGUGGCAGGGAAAGAAAAAGGCCCAGAAUUCUGAUUUCUGUACAUGGCUGAGCACCUGACAUAUAAACAGAUCAAACUGCAA
Phyllopteryx taeniolatus (common seadragon) is the source of this 3306-nucleotide RNA transcript. It is a transcript of the gene named zinc finger protein 501-like, with no coding region annotated. The record is from RefSeq and is a predicted model, not a curated record. Lineage: Eukaryota; Metazoa; Chordata; Actinopteri; Syngnathiformes; Syngnathidae. The transcript has 4 exons.